UUGAUUUUGUCUUGGGAAAAUAUUUUUUGUUCAAAUGUAGGAUUAGAAAAUAAAGAACAAGUGAUUUCUUAACACAAAUUGUUAAUAGUAAAUCCUGGUCUCCAGAAGGAGUACGUUGCCCUUAGCAAAACCUGUAAGCUCUUUUAAAAGAUAGCUUUUCAACUGGAGGAAGAUAAAUUCUUUAUAUGUAAGAGUCUUAGCUGCCUGUUUGUGUUUUGUAAGAAGUGACUAGAUCUAGUUUUGUUGAAAAUUAAGGCCCAGUUCGCAUUUAUCAAGUUUAGUCUGUUUUGUCUAGGGAGCUGCCCUAGCUUAGGUCUGCUCCUGGGUCUCAUUGUUAGAUGGCAGCCCUUCCUGAUCGUAAGUCAAAUGGCUCAUUUUUGUUCAGAUUCUACUGUAAUGGCCAUGCUCUUCUGCCUGACACAAACAACAAAAAGCUUGGCAGUUACUAAGAAAGUAGAGAAAUGAGGGAGGAACAGGAGAAAUUUGAGUUUUAAUUUCAAGGCCAGCUUAGGCUACAUAGCAAGACCUUAACAAAAAAAGAAAAAAAAAAAGGCUUGGCAGUAAUGAGGUUUUGUUUGUUUGUUUGUUUGUUUGUUUGUUUUAGAAAAAAUUUUUCUGUUGGGCUAUUCCUGCUCAAACUAAGAGUCAAUGUUAAUCAAUAGUCCUAUAGAUUCUAAUUUCUGAAGAGAGUAUUUUUGAUGGAACAUUGUACUAUCAGGUGACUGGGUCUUGUUGGAGAAUUUUUCCUCAGCUUGUAAUUUUCCAGCUUCCAACAGAGACUUUCACAACAGAAUGGUUUUCUCUCAGCUCAGAUCCCAGACCCUAAAUUUGGAGUUAUCUCAUUUGAGGUUUUGGGGGUAUAUGUAACACCUAGCCUCUCCCAUUUCUUUGCCUUCACAUUUAAAAAUGCCACCCAGAACUCUAAGCCAUACUAGAAUCUAAGAAUGCAUUGAGAUAUAUUUUUACAUUCUUUCUGACACAAAAUGGCAAGGCACUAAUGUUUGUG
Molecule: long non-coding RNA, 1006 nt
Filed under: Rattus norvegicus (Norway rat)
Lineage: Eukaryota; Metazoa; Chordata; Mammalia; Rodentia; Muridae
Description: long non-coding RNA NONRATT030116
Source: RNAcentral